Pelobates fuscus (common spadefoot toad) is the source of this 253-nucleotide long non-coding RNA. RefSeq lists it as uncharacterized. The record is from RefSeq and is a predicted model, not a curated record. The transcript has 3 exons. NCBI's taxonomy places the organism in Eukaryota, Metazoa, Chordata, Amphibia, Anura, Pelobatidae.
AGGUGUUUGGAAUCCUGAAGAUAACCAAUGUGAUUCCAUUAACUUAAAAAGAGGUGGAAACAAAGUAAAAGCUUGGAAAACGAAGUUGGAAAACCAAGGUGCAGUAUUAAAUGUGAUAACAAAAAUGCUAGCAGAAAAUGAGCAGCUUAGAGUGAGACUUUUACAAUGCAGCCAGAAAUGCCCUACUGACUCUCAGCAGAAUGAAUCUUUAUUCGGAUGGAUUUAGAGAAGGACACAAGAAAAGACAGCGAUG